AUGGCGUCGCCGCCGCCGUGGUCCGACGACCUCCUAGGUCUCUUCGUCGCCGUCCUCGACGCGGUGUGCUCUUCCAGCUGGCGCUCCGUUGCUUCUCAGCCGCGUUCUUCGCCGUGGUCGGAACUCCCAGACGAGAUCCUAAAUCUGGUGAUGGCUGGCCUCCCUAACCUGGCAGAUCGCGGUCGAUUCCAGGCGGUGUGUCGAUCCUGGCGCGCCUCGGCUCCCCCUCCGCUGCAAGUGCCGUGGAUGCAGACGGUACUGCGUUCCUGGCAAGCGGUUUCCUGCCCCCUUCCGCGGCAGCGGCCUUGGAAGUGGAUUGACUCCGCGUGCCGCCGUCCGUCCGUCCCCUCACAUCUGCCGCAGCGGCCUUGGAUCGUGCUGCCCGGCGGCUUCUACAACCACGACGGUAUCUACACUUACAUCAGAGAGUGCACAGGACACGGGUCCGCCACUGGCAAACAGGAGUACACCCCGUUCAAACGCUCCAACAUCAACAGCUCCUUCCCCGACAGCCUGCGAUGCGUUGGCUCCACCGACAGCUGGCUCGCCCUCGACUACGCUGAUGAUAAGAACAAAAUUCAUACCUACUUCUUGCACAAUCCUUUCUCUAAGGAAGUUGUGGCUCUCCCCUAGCUGGAUGCCAUAGUCGGUAAUAGUUCCGAGUUAUUUCAGAUCCGCAAGGUGCUCAUCCGAUUGACCCCUGGUGACCAGCUCGUCGUUGUCAUGACCAACAAUUGGAACUAUCCUAUCAUCUUAAUCCGACCGGGAAAGGGCGCGUGGUUACCGAGGCCACAAGCAACCCCCUUCAUCAACAUUAUUGACAUCGUGCUCCUAGGAAACAGGCUCUACGGGAUCACCCAGGCAGAGGACCUCUUCUCCUUGAAUAUAAGCUUUAAUGCUGAUGGCUUACCCACAGUCACCAAUAUCAAGCACCACAUCAGAUCGGGCGAUGCUGAUUCCAGUGUGGAGAGCGACUUAGAUGAGGACCAAGACCAUUAUUGUGAGAACGAAGAGGAUCGGCUUCAGCGCAACUUGUAUGAAUUCAGGACAACUGGAGACAACAUGAUCACUGAUGGCAUCCUGUGUGAUGAGAUGACUUGUGCUCCCAAUGAUCACCUUGCCACAUUUUGGCACUUACUUGAGUCGUGUGGGAAGCUAAUCAUGGUGAAGCGUCAAUUGCAAUUUCCUAAAUGUUGUUAUGUCAAAUUCACUCGUAAGUUGGAGGUUUUUGAGGCAGAUUUCAGCGCACGCACAUGGUUGCCGGUGUCAGGUGGGCUAGGUGACCAAGCACUUUUCAUCAGCAAACGCUUCAGCAAGUCUGUUUCUGCUUUUGGAGAGAGAGAGGAGGAUGCUAUUUAUUUUAUCGAUACAGGUGAGGUGUUCAACAUAAAAUCCAAAACUCAAAGCCGGCCAGUAGAAAGAAGUGUCGAUUCCCGUUGGUCAACAUGGAUCUUCCCUCCAAGCUAG
Molecule: ribosomal RNA, 1467 nt
Filed under: Triticum aestivum (bread wheat)
Lineage: Eukaryota; Viridiplantae; Streptophyta; Magnoliopsida; Poales; Poaceae
Description: partial small subunit ribosomal RNA
Source: RNAcentral